UCCCGAGCUUGCUUGGGAGAGUAAAGUGGCGCACGGGUGAGUAACGCGUGGGUAACCUACCUUUGAAUCUGGAAUAACCAGCCGAAAGGCUGACUAAUACCGGAUAUGGUUUUUAGGACUUAGGUUCUCUAAAUUAAAGGUGACCUCUUCAUGAAAGUUGCCGUUCAUAGAUGGGCCCGCGUACCAUUAGCUAGUUGGUGGGGUAAUGGCCUACCAAGGCGACGAUGGUUAGCUGGUCUGAGAGGAUGAUCAGCCACACUGGAACUGGAACACGGUCCAGACUCC
RNAcentral lists this ribosomal RNA (285 nucleotides) under unidentified marine bacterioplankton. RNAcentral's name for it is "partial 16S ribosomal RNA". It matches the Rfam family "Bacterial small subunit ribosomal RNA", at positions 72 to 339 of the family's 1533-position model. RNAcentral also lists the same sequence under 1 other name. The record is from RNAcentral.